Molecule: ribosomal RNA, 274 nt
Filed under: uncultured bacterium
Lineage: Bacteria
Description: partial 16S ribosomal RNA
Rfam family: Bacterial small subunit ribosomal RNA
Source: RNAcentral
CUACGGAGGGUGCAAGCGUUAAUCGGAAUUACUGGGCGUAAAGCGCGCGUAGGCGGCUUGAUAAGUCGGAUGUGAAAUCCCCGGGCUUAACCUGGGAAUUGCAUUCGAUACUGUCAGGCUAGAGUGUGGUAGAGGGAAGUGGAAUUUCCGGUGUAGCGGUGAAAUGCGUAGAUAUCGGAAAGAACAUCAGUGGCGAAGGCGGCUUCCUGGAUCAACACUGACGCUGAGGUGCGAAAGCGUGGGGAGCAAACAGGAUUAGAUACCCCAGUAGUCC